RNAcentral lists this small RNA (585 nucleotides) under Pan troglodytes (chimpanzee). RNAcentral describes it as "processed transcript". The record is from RNAcentral. Lineage: Eukaryota; Metazoa; Chordata; Mammalia; Primates; Hominidae.
ACUACAGGUGUGCACCACCACAGCUGGCUAAUUCUAUUUUUUUAUAGAGGCGAAGUCUCACUAUGUCGCCAGGCUGGUCUCUAACUCCUGGGCUCAGUGAUCCUCCCGUUUCGACUUCCCAAAGUGCUGGGAUUACAGGUGUGAGCCACUUCACCAGGCCCAUUUUCUCCUAAAACAUCAAGGACAAAUCAUUAAUAAUGUAACAGGAAUCUUUAGGAGAAAAAACAAUUUGGUUUACUGAUAACAAAAGAUAAUUGGAAACAUGAGAGUAUUUGAGAUUGGCCAAGCAGAACUAUGAAGUCCAUCAAAAUUCAUACGAUGAAAUCUUCACUCUCAAGUUGAUAGAAGGUGGGGCCCUUGGGAAGUGUGAGGUCAUGAGAGUGGAGCCCUCAUGAAUGGGAUCAGUGCCUUAUGAAAGGCCCUAGAGAGAUACCUCAUCCUCUCCACAGUGUGAGACUUCAAGGGGGAAGUGUGAGACUUCUCUGAGGAAGCAGACCCUUCACAAGCAAAAUCAACCAGCACUUUGAUCACGGACUUCCCAGCCUCUAGGACUGUGAGCAAUAAAUGUUUGAUGUUUAUAAGCCA